Molecule: ribosomal RNA, 502 nt
Filed under: uncultured Sphingobacteriales bacterium
Lineage: Bacteria; Pseudomonadati; Bacteroidota; Sphingobacteriia; Sphingobacteriales
Description: bacterial SSU rRNA
Rfam family: Bacterial small subunit ribosomal RNA
Source: RNAcentral
CGCCUUGCCAGCCCGCUCAGAAACUUAAAGGAAUUGACGGGGCCCGCACAAGCGGUGGAGCAUGUGGUUUAAUUCGAUGAUACGCGAGGAACCUUACCUGGGCUCAAAUGUAUGUUGACGUAUUCUGAAAGGGAUACUUCUUCGGACAAUAUACAAGGUGCUGCAUGGUUGUCGUCAGCUCGUGCCGUGAGGUGUCGGGUUAAGUCCCAUAACGAGCGCAACCCCUAUCAUUAGUUGCCAUCAGGUCAAGCUGGGGACUCUAAUGAAACUGCCUACGCAAGUAGUGAGGAAGGUGGGGAUGACGUCAAAUCAGCACGGCCCUUACGUCCAGGGCUACACACGUGCUACAAUGGCCGGUACAAAGGGCAGCUACCUGGUGACAGGAUGCUAAUCUCAAAAGCCGGUCUCAGUUCGGAUCGGAGUCUGCAACCCGACUCCGUGAAGUUGGAUUCGCUAGUAAUCGCGCAUCAGCCAUGGCGCGGUGAAUACGUUCCCGGGCCUU